GAAAAUUGCUUCUAAUUUCUUUUAUCCAAGUGAGAUAUAUGGCAUAAUAUUCUUCCAUUUUUAUAUGAAAGGCCUUUUUUUUAUUUCUCUAUUCCACUCCAUUUAGAUCUAAGAAAGAACCCAAUACAAUGAAAUUCCACUAGUAUACAAAAAAAUAAAUAGAUACAAACAAAAGGUCUCAAACCUUGUUAUAGAAUUUGUGUUUCAAAGAAAAGAAAUAUCAUAUAUAUUCAGCGAAUGAAAUAGAGUCGGCGAAUGAAGCGGAUUCAUUAACAACUCAAUUUACG
Molecule: long non-coding RNA, 287 nt
Filed under: Setaria italica (foxtail millet)
Lineage: Eukaryota; Viridiplantae; Streptophyta; Magnoliopsida; Poales; Poaceae
Description: long non-coding RNA (SITA_LNC001893)
Source: RNAcentral